UUCACUUUCCCCAGGCACAGCUCUCUCUUCCCUCCCCCACCUAUAUUUUUGGAGGAUGCUGCCUAAAGGAAAAGUGAAAGUCACCAGCCUUUGUUUUGACUGCAGAGAAAAACAGCCCAGUUGGGGUUCACAGCCAACAGCCCACACCUCGGGAACACAAGCAACGAGAGUCGGCCUCUGAAUGGGAGUGUGCUAAGAAAUGGGGUCCUAAAGACAUUUGGAAAUAGCAGUGAACCUGUGGGUACAGCCUGGACCAGACUAAGCAUCUGCCCCCCUGCCUGCUCUGUCCCACCCCCACCAGAUCGCCACAGGGGCUCUCUAAAGACUGUGCUGAAAGGAGGAGAUGCAUGUGCAGUGCUCAGUACAAAAUUCAAGUAUCUCCAGAAGAGUAAAUGGGAGGAGAUGGAGGCCUGAGAAUUUACCCUUGUGGGACCAAGGAUGCAGAGCACAUUUGCAAUGGAGCUGAAUAAUUCACAGUUUGGGAGCUGUAAGGAAAAAUGUGACCUCCUUCUGCUCCUGUAUUUCUAAACUCCCACUUGUCAAUCCUCUAGAACAACUCUUAUGCUGGAAACUAGAUGAAUCAGUUUGGCUCAGGCUAUCACUUGGAUAACUACAAUUUAAAAACCAGAUACAGAGGGCAAACAAACAUCUGUUGGGGGCCUUAUCUACAGAGGGCCUUCGACUUUGGCUUGGCAAUUAGCACUCUGUGGUGAAUUAUAAUCCCCACUAAUUCACAGAAGUAGUAUUUAUCACUUCAGACCUGGUAAAGAUCCCAUAUGUUUAUUGUUGCCAUGAGUUUGUGCCUUCUCCAGCCAAAGAAUAACUAGGCUUCCAUACUGUGCUUUGAACAAAAGGUUUGACUGGAAACUGACAGUAUAAUGCCGGAGUGUCAUGUGUGUGUUUAGGUUGCAUGCUGUGAUGGAUGAUUUCUGAACAACCUGGUAUAGACCCCUGUAAGCAGCUAAAUUACAACAGAGAUGAAAAUGUUUCUUCACUUUGGACCUUCUGACAUCAGUGGUUUUAAUUCUGCUGGCAUGCUUGUUCCUAUGACUUCAUUAACAGCCAAAUCCUGAUACAUCAAAACCAAUGUAAGAACUUCUUGUGACUUCAGGGUAAUGCUGAAUUUGGUUCUCUGGCACCGAAUGCUUAGGCCUAGUCUACACUACAAAGUCAGGUCAAUGUAAGUCAUCUUGCAUCAGCCUCUUUGUGCAUGUGUCUACACUCAAAUUUGUCUCUGGCUGAUGCAAGUGCCCCACUACAGAGACACAGUAAAAACACCUGCCCGAACUGCAGAGAGCCAUGGUUGACCUACUGAGGUCAAUGCAGAGUGAGUGUAGCCAUUGUAUGACCUGUGUUGAUUCCAGCAACCUCCACCAAUUGUCCCAGUGGACAGUGACCAUCCUGGUUAUAUUUUUAAUCUCCACUGCCUAUGGGUCACAGAGACUGGAAACCACACACACCCCAUUUAACUCCCCCGUGUGCUUUUGAAAUGCCUCUUCCUGAUUGCCCAGCUUGGCAAGCACACACAGCAGCUCACCUUUGUUACAUGCAGUUGCCUUGCCCAGCUGCCUAUGCCAGCUCCACGCGCACAGAGGUACAAGAUACAGUCCUGCCUGGAGUAAACAAAAAGUAUUGGAUUUCCUGGACACAGCUGUGGACCAGCUGUAGAAACAUGGACAUCUACGACCAGACUGCAUAGGGGGUACAGAGAAAGGGGUAUGAUGGGGAUCAGCAGCAGUGCUGUGUGAACGCGAAGGAACUUUACCAGGGAUAUCACAAGGCCAGGGAGGCCAAUGAUGGAUCUGAUGCUGCGCCACAGACCUACUGCUUCUACAAGGAACUGCAUGCCAUCCGUGGUGGAGACCUCACCAGCAACCCACAGACCACUGUGGAUACCUCAUGGGAUCCCAAGAUCCUGGCUGUGAACGGCGAGGAGGAGGAGGAUGGGAUGGGGGAAACAUAGCAGGGGACUCCAGCUAUGCUGUGAGCCAGGACCUGUUUGAGGCUCCACCAAAGUCUAGCAAGUCCUACCAAGCGAGCACAGAUGAGCCUAAUGAAGGGGAAGAGAACUCAGCUUUUGGCAGGGUAGCCUUGAGAGGUGCCCCCUCCUCGCCAGCAGAACACCUGACCCUGAAGAGGACGAGAAAGAGGAGAAUGAGGGAGGACAUGAUUUGUGAGAUCCUGUAAGCCAGUGCUUCAUCAGACCAUGAACAAAGAGCUUGGAGAGCCACCGUGACCAACAGCAUGGAAAAGGAAAGAGAGUACAAGAAAGAGGCCUCGGGAGUUGCAGCAGGAAAUGUAGCGAAUGUAGUAGGUCUUCUCAGGUAGCAAACUCAAGUGCUGCAGGCCCUGAUUGAUCUACCAAUCCAAAAAUCCCAGACCUGCCCAUCCUUUGCAGUCCUUGGAGAAUUCCAUGGUCGCUGCUCCCUGCACCUCCUAAUAUACCACAUGGCAUCACAGGGCACAUCCUUACCACUUCCACUUCAUGCCAGGGACAGUAAGGAAAACCACAGCUUUGCAUACACUGAUCUGUGAGAACCAUGGCAGGUGUGUGUGUGUAGCCACACUGGACUAUGCUUGUUUCCUCAACUGGACACACAUGUUUACUUCCUUUUAUAAUUUUAAACUUUCACCCCAUUAAGUUAAAAACUUGUGUAAUAGGGCCUAUGUGACUUUUGGUUUUUGCACAUUGAUUUUCU
Long non-coding RNA from Dermochelys coriacea (leatherback sea turtle), 2699 nucleotides. RefSeq lists it as uncharacterized. NCBI's taxonomy places the organism in Eukaryota, Metazoa, Chordata, Testudines, Dermochelyidae. The record is from RefSeq and is a predicted model, not a curated record. The transcript is spliced from 3 exons.